UGGCCCAUGGGGGGAUCGAACCCACGACCUUCGCGUUAUUAGCACGACGCUCUAAUCAAAUGAGCUAAUGGGCC
This 74-nucleotide transfer RNA is filed under the name Cordylochernes scorpioides. RNAcentral's name for it is "tRNA-Ile". Lineage: Eukaryota; Metazoa; Arthropoda; Arachnida; Pseudoscorpiones; Chernetidae. The record is from RNAcentral.